RNAcentral lists this ribosomal RNA (497 nucleotides) under uncultured bacterium. Its description in RNAcentral is "partial 16S ribosomal RNA". It matches the Rfam family "Bacterial small subunit ribosomal RNA", at positions 28 to 507 of the family's 1533-position model. The record is from RNAcentral.
GAUGAACGCUGGCGGCGUGCCUAAUACAUGCAAGUCGAGCGAACAGAUAAGGAGCUUGCUCCUUUGAAGUUAGCGGCGGACGGGUGAGUAACACGUGGGUAACCUACCUAUAAGACUGGGAUAACUUCGGGAAACCGGAGCUAAUACCGGAUAACAUUUAGAACCGCAUGGUUCUAAAGUGAAAGAUGGUUUUGCUAUCACUUAUAGAUGGACCCGCGCCGUAUUAGCUAGUUGGUAAGGUAACGGCUUACCAAGGCGACGAUACGUAGCCGACCUGAGAGGGUGAUCGGCCACACUGGAGCUGAGACACGGUCCAGACUCCUACGGGAGGCAGCAGUAGGGAAUCUUCCGCAAUGGGCGAAAGCCUGACGGAGCAACGCCGCGUGAGUGAUGGAGGGGUUCGGCUCGUAAAACUCUGUUAUUAGGGAAGAACAAAUGUGUAAGUAACUGUGCACAUCUUGACGGUACCUAAUCAGAAAGCCACGGCUAACUACGUG